This is a long non-coding RNA of Zalophus californianus (California sea lion), 780 nucleotides long. RefSeq lists it as uncharacterized. Lineage: Eukaryota; Metazoa; Chordata; Mammalia; Carnivora; Otariidae. The record is from RefSeq and is a predicted model, not a curated record. The transcript is spliced from 3 exons.
CAAAAAGCAAAUCUUUUUCUGGUUCCACGCUCACCUUUGGUUUUGAAGACUGAGUGACUUAAAGGAAUCUGGACUUUGGGUGCUGUCUGCAGACUUGGCUCAUAUUCAAGAUCGGGCUCCUCUUACGGACCCCGAAGAACAGAUUGGUGAGGUAAUCUGCAUACAUCAAACAGAUAGUUUGUAGCAGAACGAAUUUGAACAAGGAUAAUCUCGUUAUGGAUUCUGUACCCUUCGUCUCUGUUGCGAUACUGAGUCAAAGUUCAGCAUACACAGACUGUUCAACAGAAAGAAAGUAAUGAAGAAACUGAAAGAUCUAGAGAGGACGUACAGUACAGUGGCCAAGAUCUGAACCUAGGAGGUCUGGCACCAAAGUCUAUACAGCAGUCUCCCCAUUAUCCACAGUGUCAGUUACCCUCGGUCAACCGCCAUCCGGAAGCAGAUGAUCCUCCUGCUGCCAUAUGGUCAGCAGGUCAAUGGUAGCUUACUGCUGUGUCAUUCACUUCCCUAGAUCUCAUCACGGGAGCAUUUUAUCAUCUCACAUCAUCACAAGAAGAAGAGUGAGUACAGUGCAUAAGGUAUUUUGAGAGAGAGACAAAAUUCACAGAAUCUUUAUUGCAGUAUAUGGGUAUAAAUGUUCUAUUUUAUUAUUACUUAUUGCUGUUAAUCUCUACUGCGCCUAACGUAUAAAUUAAACUUUAUCAUAGGUGUGUACAUAUAGGAAGAAACAUAAUAUAUAUAGGGUUUGAUACUACUCAUGGUUUCAGGCACCCAUGGGGUUCU